UACGGGGGGGGCAAGCGUUGUUCGGAAUUACUGGGCGUAAAGGGCUCGUAGGCGGCCAACUAAGUCGGAUGUGAAAUCCCCAGGCUCAACUUGGGAACUGCAUCCGAUACUGGAUGGCUUGAAUUCGGGAGAGGGAUGCAGAAUUCCAGGUGUAGCGGUGAAAUGCGUAGAUAUCUGGAGGAAUACCGGUGGCGAAGGCGGCAUCCUGGACCGACACUGACGCUGAGGAGCGAAAGCUAGGGGAGCAAACGGG
This 253-nucleotide ribosomal RNA is filed under the name uncultured bacterium. RNAcentral's name for it is "partial 16S ribosomal RNA". It matches the Rfam family "Bacterial small subunit ribosomal RNA", at positions 524 to 776 of the family's 1533-position model. The record is from RNAcentral.